GGUGAACGCUGGCGGUAGGCCUAACACAUGCAAGUCGAACGGCAGCACAGUAAGAGCUUGCUCUUACGGGUGGCGAGUGGCGGACGGGUGAGGAAUACAUCGGAAUCUACUUUUUCGUGGGGGAUAACGUAGGGAAACUUACGCUAAUACCGCAUACGACCUACGGGUGAAAGCAGGGGAUCUUCGGACCUUGCGCGAUUGAAUGAGCCGAUGUCGGAUUAGCUAGUUGGCGGGGUAAAGGCCCACCAAGGCGACGAUCCGUAGCUGGUCUGAGAGGAUGAUCAGCCACACUGGAACUGAGACACGGUCCAGACUCCUACGGGAGGCAGCAGUGGGGAAUAUUGGACAAUGGGCGCAAGCCUGAUCCAGCAAUACCGCGUGGGUGAAGAAGGCCUUCGGGUUUUAAAGCCCUUUUGUUGGGAAAGAAAAGCAGCAGGUUAAUACCCCGCUGUUCUGACGGUACCCAAAGAAUAAGCACCGGCUAACUUCGUG
This 492-nucleotide ribosomal RNA is filed under the name uncultured bacterium. RNAcentral describes it as "partial 16S ribosomal RNA". It matches the Rfam family "Bacterial small subunit ribosomal RNA", at positions 28 to 507 of the family's 1533-position model. The record is from RNAcentral.